ACCCAUAAAUAGCCGCAGUUUCCUGUGCCAAGGUAGCAUAAUCAAUAGUCUAUUAAUUAUAGAAUAGAAUGAAUGGCAAAACGUGUUUUACUCUAUUACACCAAUAAAACUAAAACCUAUAAAUAAAGUUAAAAUACUUUUCCCCCACAGAAAGACGACAAGACCCUAAUAAACUAAAACUUCUGUUUUACUGGGGCGGUAAACAAACAAUCUCUUAACACCUCUUUCAAUACAACCCCUACCCCCUAUAUACAGUUACUAUAGGGAUAACAGCAUAAUUGUUAUUUCAAGAUCUUAUUUAAAUAACAGCUUAUGACCUCGAUGUUGAAUUAUUUUACCUACUUUAAGCAAAAAUAAACAAAGGGAGUCUGUUCGACUUUUAAAAAUUUACAUGAUUUGAGUUCAGACCGGCUUCAGCCAGGUCGGUUUCUAUCUUCUUUUAAACGCAAUACUCAGUACGAAAGGACCACUACUACAUUUACUAAAAUAGUAAAUUAAUACCUUAGACUUAGAAUCUAACAAACCAGCCUAUUAUUAACACUAUUUUUUCAACUGUCUCAAUCCUUAUCAGCGUUGCUUUCUACACCCUCCUAGAACGAAAAAUACUCAGAUUUAUCCAAACCCGAAAAGGUCCCAACAAAGUUGGUCUUACUGGUAUUCUCCAACCCAUUAGCGACGCCCUAAAACUAUUCAACAAAACCCUUUUCGCCCCCACAAACUCUAACCAAUUUCUAUUCUUCCUAUCUCCCCUUUUAACCUUCCUACUAUGCUUAAUAUUAUGACCCUGUAUUCCCCUAAGAAACUUUAAUAUCAUAGACAGCUCGCUAAACUCACUAAUCAUUAUCCUUCUCUCUAGAGCUGCUGUUUACACUACAAUAAUAUCUGGAUGAACCUCAA
RNAcentral lists this ribosomal RNA (897 nucleotides) under Ischnothyreus sp. CASENT9035059. RNAcentral's name for it is "partial 16S ribosomal RNA". The stretch from base 1 to 460 matches the Rfam family "Archaeal large subunit ribosomal RNA", at positions 1996 to 2987 of the family's 2987-position model. The record is from RNAcentral. Lineage: Eukaryota; Metazoa; Arthropoda; Arachnida; Araneae; Oonopidae.